CUAGCUAGGGGAGUUUGCCUUUGCGUGGUGUAGCGGUUUUAGAUCGGCGCGACUUUGCGCGUAGGGUUACCGAUUUGAAAUGCAGCGGGAUUUAGUGAGUUUCCCGCUUUCUCCUGCGGUGCGGGUGAAGCUUGUGUCUGCAGGUUUCCAGACUGCAGAGGACCUCCUAGAGUUGAAACCCUCCGAGCUCAGCAAAGAAGUUGGGAUAUCAAAAGAGGAAGCCUUAGAAACUCUGCAAAUUAUAAGAAGAGAAUGUCUCACAAAUAAACCAAGAUAUGCUGGUACAUCUGAGUCAGGCAAGAAGUGUACAGCACUGGAACUUCUUGAGCAGGAGCAUACCCAGGGCUUCAUAAUUACCUUCUGUUCAGCACUAGAUAAUAUUCUUGGGGGUGGAGUACCCUUGAUGAAAACAACAGAAAUUUGUGGUGCACCAGGUGUUGGAAAAACACAAUUAUGUAUUCAGUUAGCAGUAGAUGUGCAGAUACCAGAAUGUUUCGGAGGAGUGGCAGGUGAAGCAAUUUUUAUUGACACGGAGGGAAGUUUUAUGAUUGAUAGAGUAGUAGAUAUUGCUACUGCCUGUAUUCAGCACCUUCAGCUUAUUGCAGAAACACACACAGGUGAAGAACACCAAAAGGCUUUGGAGGAUUUUACUCUUGAAAAUAUUCUUUCGCAUAUUUAUUAUUUUCGUUGUCAUGACUACACAGAGCUACUGGCCCAAGUUUAUCUCCUUCCAGAUUUCCUUUCAGAACAUUCAAAGGUUCGAUUAGUAAUAGUGGAUGGUAUUGCUUUUCCUUUUCGUCAUGACAUAGAUGACCUGUCCCUUCGUACUCGGUUGCUAAAUGGCCUUGCCCAGCAAAUGAUCAGCCUUGCAAAUAAUUACAAGUUAGCUGUAAUUUUAACCAAUCAGAUGACAACAAAGAUUGACAAAAAUCAGGCUUUGCUGGUUCCUGCAUUAGGGGAAAGUUGGGGACACGCUGCUACAAUACGGCUAAUCUUUCAUUGGGACCAAAAGCAAAGCUCCUGGCAACCAUCAUUCUAUUUUUAUCGUUAUGAAUUUGACUGCCUCAUAUAAUUGGAAUCAUACAGUAUUUGUCCUGUAGUGACUGGUUUAUUCACUUAGCAUAAUGUCUUCAAGGUUCAUCUAUAUCAUAGCAAGUGUCAAAAUGUUCUUUCAAGUCUGAAUAAUAUUAUUGUAUGUAUAUGCCACAUUUCAUUUAUUCAUCUGUCCAUGAAUACUUGGGUUGAUUCUGCCAUAAGUAAUUGUGAAUACAUUAUAGUAUCAAUUUUAAAGUAAUUUUAAAAAGUAUUCUAAAGGUUUUUGUUUAUAUUUGUUGCUGUUAAUAGUAUUCGAAUACAGUUAAGAGUUUAGAAUUUUAUUUCUCAACUACUUUUAAUAUUCAGUUUUAUAUUAUUUACUUUGUAUAACACAUAAUAAAAUUUCACCUAAACAGACCUUGUUCUGUCAUAACAGUGAUAUUUUUGGGACAUAAUUAUUUUAAAACAAUGUGUCUUCCUAGCUUUAUGUCUUGGUAUAAUAUGAACAUGUGUUCCUCAUUUAUAUUCCAAGAAAUUGUCUUACUUUUUCUAUGGUAAAACAAUAAAAAUAAACAGGAUUAUUGCAGAAAGUUUGGGAAAUAUAGGUAAGAUUUACCUUAUGACAGCAGUUGUUAAUUUUUUGAUUAUAGUCUUCUAGCAAUUUUUUGCACAUGUAUAUUCAUAAAUGUGGGAUCAUACAGUAUAAUUAUUACUUAACACUUUUCUAAUUAAAUAUUUUCCUCCACUGUUUUUAGCAUAAUUAUAUAAAAUAAUUUAUUUGAAUCAGUCAUUGGAUUUUUAAAAAUUUUUCACUUCUAUAAACUGCUAUAAAUGUUCUCAUAUGUUACACAUGCAUACAUAUAGGUAGUAUUUGAGGGGAGUAUUUUUUAUAUUUCUGUCCUUUAUGUGUCCUUAGAAAACAAAAUAAAAUUAUAGUAAAAAAAUCUAUAAAUUAAGAGUUUAGUCACCUAAACUAAGGUCAUGUGUUUGUGUGUAUGCUUUUUCUCUAAGCAGGUUGGCAACAUUGUACAAAUCACCAAGCCAGAAGGAAUCCACAGUACUGUUUCAAAUCACACCUCAGGGAUUUAGAGAUGCUGUUGUUGCUGCUGCAUGUUCAUUUCAAACAGAAGGUUCGUUGAAUUCCCGGAAACGGUCCCGAGAAG
RNA transcript from Nycticebus coucang (slow loris), 2198 nucleotides. It is a transcript of the gene named RAD51 paralog C, with no coding region annotated. The transcript is spliced from 9 exons. The record is from RefSeq and is a predicted model, not a curated record. NCBI's taxonomy places the organism in Eukaryota, Metazoa, Chordata, Mammalia, Primates, Lorisidae.